This is a long non-coding RNA of Oncorhynchus gorbuscha (pink salmon), 275 nucleotides long. RefSeq lists it as uncharacterized. The transcript has 3 exons. NCBI's taxonomy places the organism in Eukaryota, Metazoa, Chordata, Actinopteri, Salmoniformes, Salmonidae. The record is from RefSeq and is a predicted model, not a curated record.
GCUGUACAUCGUUCAAUCUACCUGCUCCCUCAGGAGUCUCUGCCAGUGAUCUGGACACCAGUGUGCGCUUUGAGUUUCCUUUUCCUAGUAUGGAGGAGGCCCAGAGGGAUAAGACCAGUACAGUGAAGAACAGCAACAGUCCAGAGUUUAAAGAGAAGUUUAACCUGAACAUCAACCGUCAACACAGAGGCUUCAAGAGGGUCGUCCAGGCCAAAGGCAUCAAGUUUGACAUCAUCCACAAGGGGUGAGAUCAGAGACACACACCACACCUGGUU